UUUCAACGCGACCCCAGGUCAGGCGGGAUUACCCGCUGAAUUUAAGCAUAUCAAUAAGCGGGAGGAA
RNAcentral lists this ribosomal RNA (67 nucleotides) under Sibiraea croatica. RNAcentral's name for it is "partial 26S ribosomal RNA". The record is from RNAcentral. Lineage: Eukaryota; Viridiplantae; Streptophyta; Magnoliopsida; Rosales; Rosaceae.